Long non-coding RNA from Chroicocephalus ridibundus (black-headed gull), 2646 nucleotides. RefSeq lists it as uncharacterized. NCBI's taxonomy places the organism in Eukaryota, Metazoa, Chordata, Aves, Charadriiformes, Laridae. The transcript is spliced from 5 exons. The record is from RefSeq and is a predicted model, not a curated record.
UCCUGGCUUUUGGAGAAAGCAGCUGGUUUUACAGAAAACAGAGGUGGCCCUGGGAGUUUGAGGGGCUGCUGGAACAGACUGCCUGCCUGCUGGAAGCCCCGCACCAGAGGCAGAGGCUGCUCCUUGGAGUGAAGGAGAAAUAGGAAAAAUGAGAAUGAAAGCCACAGCGGCCACCAGGAUUGUGGAGCUGCCCACUUUUAAUAUACAGCUCGCAGGUCCACGGUCUGCCCUGAAAUCCCAGCUUGUGGGGAGUCUCCAGCCCUCCUGGGGAAGGACUCACAGAAGGGACUAAUCCUCUGCCACCAGCGUGAGCAAGGGUUGUGGCAUCCUGCGCCAGCAGGGAGGCAAAGGGAAACACGAAGAAUCCCAACACGUGAGCGCUGUCGUUAUUGUCUUCACUCGGUGAGACAAACUGUUAAAGCCUGAAAGGACAGGCAUCUCUAGGGAGAGGUUUUCAGCCAGCGUAUAAAUCAAAAAAUUCACCUAACUUUUCCCUUUCCAUUCGGGCCAGCGUUUUAAUUCUGUUUCAUUUGGCAGCCCCUGUUCAUUUUCAGAAUAUUAAAGAACUGGAUUAAAUAAUUAAAAGUUUUCCUUUGCAAACUUCGCUCCUUGGCUUAUCACCAGGUUCGUACCAGGAUGGGGACACCAGCUACUCCUUUCAGCAACAAAAAUACACAGCAAACAGCAGGCUGGCUUCUCAGUGAUCGGCCUGGCCGUCCGGCACAAAUUUCCCCGUUGUUCCUGUGUCUGAGGGGAAUGUUCCCCACAUUUGGAGGACCCAAAUCCUGGUGGAGGGCUGUGGACCACCAAGGAAGCUCCAGCAUCGCCGGGGCAGUGUGCGUGGGCUGAGUGCAGGGUGCAAGAUGGGUCCAAAAUCAGAGCAGCCGAUGUUGUCCUCUCCUGCCAGGAGGGUGAGGACCACCAUCACCAUCGCUAGCAGUGGUUCCCUAAGCACUACCACGUGCUGGCUGGACACGGUGGACGUCUGACCUCGGAGACAGGAUGUCCUAACGUUGAGACACUCGCACCUCCGCUGAGAUUCCCAGCAGCGCACUGGGAUGCUUUAACACCAGGUUCGGAAGCCGGUUUCAGCAGGUUAGAGAGCUGGAUGUUAUUCCCAGGGUAUUCCCCGGCCUGUGGAGGCGCUGAGCUUGGAGAGUGCAUGCCUCAGGCUCUCCCUCUGGAAAUCCCCAUUGCUUGCACUGGGCUGUGAAACCACCCUGUGUGGUCCCCCCGUCGGCACAACCUUCCCAAGAGCUUUUCAUCACGGGUGGCCAAAAGUCGCCCCUUCCCUGGGAACACAAGGCAGGGCCCGUCUCUCUCCCACUUGUCUCACUGGGUGGGAAAAAUCCCAAGAGAUGGGUGCCUCAACCUCCUGCCCUCAUUCCCUCUGUGCUUGCCCUUCCCCAUCCUCUCUUUCCCGGAGACCACAGCCAUGCCUAUGUGCAAAUCUUCAAUGACCUCCCCAGGUCCUAUCUCUAUAAUACCAGCUUUUAAUAGAGUAAGAGGGUGAGGUCAUCACAGCCCGCUGCACUUUUAUUUCAGCACGGUCGCUAUAGCAGCGAAGGUCAAAACAAAACAUAUAGUUCACCAAAGCAAAGUUUCCUGGCUAAUGGUGUUCAUUUUUCUUUAUGAGCUGACUUUGGAAGACAGCGGAGCGGCAGCUAAUGGAAACUCGAAUGUCUUUCUCUUUCCCCUGUCUGCUCCUCUGUCUCCGCAGCAGUCGAGAUAAAGGUUAGACAUCUGGUUCGGAUCUGCUCUGUUUAACCAAAGAAAAGACCCGCUCCUGCCAUCUCGUAAAUCAUCCUGCAGCUGGAGCCCAGUCCCAGCUAUUUGCUGGGGCUGUUUACCCCGCCACGUCCAAUUUAGCCGUGGGGUUUGCUUUCGGAAAGGCCGCCCUUCCAGCCAGCUGCCUGCUGCCAUGUUGUGAGCUGUCCCCGGCUGCUGGGACGGGGCUCUGGGUGGGUGGCAAGGGCUGAGAAAUUAUCAUGGGUUUGAAAUUAUCUCGGGAUUUAAAGCCAUCCGGGAUGCUGGUCUUGGUCGCAUGCACGCCAGCAGCUUGCGGUGAGCUCCCUGCGAGAUGCUGCUCCCCGGCAGUGACCGCCCUGCCCCAAAGAGCUUAUGGGCGUGCAGGGGCUGUAAGACAUGGGCAGAAAGCAAAUGAGGACCUACAAAAUCUAGCGUCUUCCAAAUCCCCUCAUCUCAGCUUAUCAGCUCCUUGUUACUCAGAGGUUUAAUGAUUUUAGGGUUAGGAGAUGUAUUAUUUCCAUCUCACAAGCAUCAGGCUGAUGCAUGAAGGGACCAAGGGUAGGGUGGUGGCCGCGCAGAAGACCCGUGGCCGAGGAAAUGCCCACGCUUAUGUCUCAAUUAUCUGAAAAUCCUUUUCGCCGGGCUCAGCUGCUUCAAGUUUAUCUGCAUCUAUGCUGAAGCACUUGGAUUCAGUCCUAAUUUCCAGGAACGCCUGGUGCGGAAGACAUCCUUUUCCUUAAACUCUUGACCUUGCAAUGUCAACACUGGUGGUGUAGGGCCUUGCUUUGGCUUUGCGUCGCUGGAAAACCCACUUUAACUGAAAGCAGCCAGGCAGGUACACGUGUACAUCUAUAUGCUUUUAGACUGACUUCUUUUACUGAUGUAAUAAAUGUAAUA